RNAcentral lists this ribosomal RNA (413 nucleotides) under uncultured bacterium. RNAcentral's name for it is "bacterial SSU rRNA". It matches the Rfam family "Bacterial small subunit ribosomal RNA", at positions 28 to 433 of the family's 1533-position model. The record is from RNAcentral.
GAUGAACGCUGGCGGCGUGCCUAAUACAUGCAAGUCGAACGCACAGCGAAAGGUGCUUGCACCUUUCAAGUGAGUGGCGAACGGGUGAGUAACACGUGGAUAACCUACCUCAAGGUUGGGGAUAACAUUUGGAAACAGAUGCUAAUACCGAAUAAAACUUAGUAUCGCAUGAUACCAGGUUAAAAGGCGCUACGGCGUCACCUAGAGAUGGAUCCGCGGUGCAUUAGUUAGUUGUGGGUAAAGGCUUACAAGACAAUGAUGCAUAGCCGAGUUGAGAGACUGAUCGGCCACAUUGGGACUGAGACACGGCCCAAACUCCUACGGGAGGCUGCAGUAGGGAAUCUUCCACAAUGGGCGAAAGCCUGAUGGAGCAACGCCGCGUGUGUGAUGAAGGCUUUCGGGUCGGUAAAGAC